CCUACGGGAGGCUGCAGUGGGGAAUAUUGGACAAUGGGGGCAACCCUGAUCCAGCCAUGCCGCGUGUGUGAAGAAGGCCCUCGGGUUGUAAAGCACUUUCAGUGAGGAAGAACGCCUGGUGGUUAAUACCCAUCAGGAAAGACAUCACUCACAGAAGAAGCACCGGCUAACUCCGUGCCAGCAGCCGCGGUAAUACGGAGGGUACGAGCGUUAAUCGGAAUUACUGGGCGUAAAGCGCGCGUAGGUGGCUUGAUAAGCCGGUUGUGAAAGCCCCGGGCUCAACCUGGGAACGGCAUCCGGAACUGUCAAGCUAGAGUGCAGGAGAGGAAGGUAGAAUUCGCGGUGUAGCGGUGAAAUGCGUAGAGAUCGGGAGGAAUACCAGUGGCGAAGGCGGCCUUCUGGACUGACACUGACACUGAGGUGCGAAAGCGUGGGUAGCAAACAGGAUUAGAUACCCUAGUAGUC
RNAcentral lists this ribosomal RNA (465 nucleotides) under Vreelandella stevensii. RNAcentral describes it as "partial 16S ribosomal RNA". It matches the Rfam family "Bacterial small subunit ribosomal RNA", at positions 338 to 795 of the family's 1533-position model. Lineage: Bacteria; Pseudomonadati; Pseudomonadota; Gammaproteobacteria; Oceanospirillales; Halomonadaceae. The record is from RNAcentral.